Molecule: non-coding RNA, 549 nt
Organism: Drosophila virilis
Lineage: Eukaryota; Metazoa; Arthropoda; Insecta; Diptera; Drosophilidae
Source: RefSeq, a predicted model, not a curated record
GCUUCUGUUGACGGGCAGCAUUUGAAUUCGCAACACUCUUAGAUAUUAAAUAUAUCAACUCAUAUGCCGUCAUAUGCCGACUUUAUUAUAUUUGUCAUGCCAACUAUGAUGAUAUAAACUCUAAUGAUCACGUCAUGGCUAUGGCGAAAGACAUAAAAGACUUCUGGAAAACUUUCAAAGAACUCGUUGGAGAAAUACCUCAUUCAUCAAAAAAAAGGAUUUUUUGCUUAAAUUGGAGCAUUCAGAUAAUCUGCAAUUUUGAACGGGGUGCAAAAGUUCUCAAUCGAUCGUAAAUAUGGAAGGCAUAUGAUAUACUGACUAGAUCCGGUCGGAUCCAACAAGUAGAAGGGAAUCGAAGUGUUUAACUUGCAUUAAACAAAUAAACGGAUGCAUUUAUUGACUCAGCUUGUAAUGAAAGUGACGCGGACGGAUCUCUAAAUGGAUUACAUCUAAAGAUUAUCAGCUGAUAUAUAUUCAGAAUGACUCUUGCGCUCCAAAUUCGCAAUUUGAAAUAAAUAUGUCUAUAUUUUUCUACGAUUUAACUCAAAA